This 439-nucleotide ribosomal RNA is filed under the name uncultured bacterium. RNAcentral describes it as "partial 16S ribosomal RNA". It matches the Rfam family "Bacterial small subunit ribosomal RNA", at positions 339 to 795 of the family's 1533-position model. The record is from RNAcentral.
CUACGGGGCGCAGCAGUGGGGGAUAUUGCACAAUGGGGGAAACCCUGAUGCAGCAACGCCGCGUGAAGGAAGACGGUUUUCGGAUUGUAAACUUCUAUCAGCAGGGAAGAAAAUGACGGUACCUGACUAAGAAGCCCCGGCUAACUACGUGCCAGCAGCCGCGGUAAUACGUAGGGGGCAAGCGUUAUCCGGAAUUACUGGGUGUAAAGGGUACGGAGGCGGCUGAUCAAGUCAGAUGUGAAAGCCCGGAGCCCAACUCCGGGACUGCAUUUGAAACUGGUCGGCUAGAGUGCAGGAGAGGAAAGUGGAAUUCCUAGUGUAGCGGUGAAAUGCGUAGAUAUUAGGAAGAACACCAGUGGCGAAGGCGGCUUUCUGGACUGUAACUGACGCUGAGGUACGAAAGCGUGGGGAGCGAACAGGAUUAGAUACCCUCGUAGUC